Molecule: ribosomal RNA, 429 nt
Filed under: uncultured bacterium
Lineage: Bacteria
Description: bacterial SSU rRNA
Rfam family: Bacterial small subunit ribosomal RNA
Source: RNAcentral
UGGGGAAUAUUGGACAAUGGGGGGAACCCUGAUCCAGCAAUGCCGCGUGUGUGAAGAAGGCCUGAGGGUUGUAAAGCACUUUCAGUGGGGAGGAGGGAUGAUUGAUUAAGAGUUGGUCAUUUGGACGUUACCCACAGAAGAAGCACCGGCUAACUCCGUGCCAGCAGCCGCGGUAAUACGGAGGGUGCGAGCGUUAAUCGGAAUUACUGGGCGUAAAGCGUGCGUAGGUGGUUGAUUAAGUUAUCUGUAAAAUCCCCGGGCUUAACCUGGGAAGGCCAGAUAAAACUGAUGGACUCGAGUAUGGGAGAGGGUAGUGGAAUUUCCGGUGUAGCGGUGAAAUGCGUAGAGAUCGGAAGGAACACCAGUGGCGAAGGCGGCUACCUGGCCUAAUACUGACACUGAGGCACGAAAGCGUGGGGAGCAAACAGG